GAUUGAACGCUGGCGGCAUGCCUUACACAUGCAAGUCGAACGGCAGCACGGGAGCAAUCCUGGUGGCGAGUGGCGAACGGGUGAGUAAUAUAUCGGAACGUGCCCAGUCGUGGGGGAUAACGUAGAGAAAUUUACGCUAAUACCGCAUACGAUCCAAGGAUGAAAGCGGGGGACCGUAAGGCCUCGCGCGACUGGAGCGGCUGAUAUCAGAUUAGCUUGUUGGUGAGGUAAAAGCUCACCAAGGCGACGAUCUGUAGCUGGUUUGAGAGAACGACCAGCCACACUGGGACUGAGACACGGCCCAGACUCCUACGGGAGGCAG
RNAcentral lists this ribosomal RNA (322 nucleotides) under uncultured soil bacterium. RNAcentral describes it as "bacterial SSU rRNA". It matches the Rfam family "Bacterial small subunit ribosomal RNA", at positions 27 to 351 of the family's 1533-position model. The record is from RNAcentral.